CUACGGGUUGCUCCAGUAAGGAAUAUUGCGCAAUGGAGGCAACUCUGACGCAGCCAUGCCGCGUGCAGGAAGAAGGCCUUAUGGGUCGUAAACUGCUUUUAUUUAGGAAUAAACCCCCGAACGUGUUCGGGGCUGAAGGUACUAAACGAAUAAGCACCGGUUAACUCCGUGCCAGCAGCCGCGGUAAUACGGAGGGUGCAAGCGUUAUCCGGAUUUUUUGGGUUUAAAGGGUGCGCAGGCGGGCUAUUAAGUCAGUGGUGAAAUCCCGGGGCUCAACUCCGGAACUGCCAUUGAUACUGAUAGUCUUGAGUUUGGUUGAAGUGGGCGGAAUGUAGCAUGUAGCGGUGAAAUGCAUAGAUAUGCUACAGAACACCAAUCGCGAAGGCAGCUCACUAAGCCAAAACUGACGCUCAUGCACGAAAGCGUGGGGAUCAAACAGGAUUAGAUACCCGAGUAGUC
Molecule: ribosomal RNA, 459 nt
Filed under: uncultured bacterium
Lineage: Bacteria
Description: partial 16S ribosomal RNA
Rfam family: Bacterial small subunit ribosomal RNA
Source: RNAcentral